This 70-nucleotide transfer RNA is filed under the name Liolaemus capillitas. RNAcentral's name for it is "tRNA-Gln". RNAcentral also lists the same sequence under 1 other name. Lineage: Eukaryota; Metazoa; Chordata; Lepidosauria; Squamata. The record is from RNAcentral.
UUAGAAGGACAGGACUCGAACCCGCACCUAGAAGCUCAAAACCUCCAGCACUUCAUUGUACUACCAUCUA